This 484-nucleotide ribosomal RNA is filed under the name uncultured bacterium. RNAcentral's name for it is "partial 16S ribosomal RNA". It matches the Rfam family "Bacterial small subunit ribosomal RNA", at positions 30 to 507 of the family's 1533-position model. The record is from RNAcentral.
AUUGAACGCUGGCGGCAGGCCUAACACAUGCAAGUCGAGCGGAUGAAGGGAGCUUGCUCCUGGAUUCAGCGGCGGACGGGUGAGUAAUGCCUAGGAAUCUGCCUGGUAGUGGGGGAUAACGUCCGGAAACGGGCGCUAAUACCGCAUACGUCCUGAGGGAGAAAGUGGGGGAUCUUCGGACCUCACGCUAUCAGAUGAGCCUAGGUCGGAUUAGCUAGUUGGUGGGGUAAAGGCCUACCAAGGCGACGAUCCGUAACUGGUCUGAGAGGAUGAUCAGUCACACUGGAACUGAGACACGGUCCAGACUCCUACGGGAGGCAGCAGUGGGGAAUAUUGGACAAUGGGCGAAAGCCUGAUCCAGCCAUGCCGCGUGUGUGAAGAAGGUCUUCGGAUUGUAAAGCACUUUAAGUUGGGAGGGAGGGCGGUAAGUUAAUACCUUGCUGUUUUGACGUUACCAACAGAAUAAGCACCGGCUAACUUCGUG